UAACACCGGCAGCCCGAGUGGUGAUCACUAUUAUUGGGUCUAAAGGGUCCGUAGCCGGUUUAAUCAGUCUUCUGGGAAAUCUAAUCGCUUAACUAUUAGGCUUCCAGGGGAUACUGUUAGACUUGGGACCGGGAGAGGUAGGAGGUACUGCAGGGGUAGGAGUGAAAUCUUGUAAUCCCUGUGAGACCACCAGUGGCGAAGGCGUCUUACCAGAACGGGUCCGACGGUGAGGGACGAAAGCUGGGGGCACGAACCGGAUUAGAUACCCGGGUAGUCCCAGCUGUAAACGAUGCUCGUUAGGUGUCAGGAACGGUGCGACUGUUUCUGGUGCCGAAGGGAAGCCGUGAAACGAGCCACCUGGGAAGUACGGCCGCAAGGCUGAAACUUAAAGGAAUUGGCGGGGGAGCACUACAACGGGUGGAGCCUGCGGUUUAAUUGGACUCAACGCCGGAAAACUCACCGGGGGCGACAGCAAUAUGUAGGUCAGGUUAAAGGUCUUACCUGAAUCGCUGAGAGGAGGUGCAUGGCCGUCGUCAGUUCGUACUGUGAAGCAUCCUGUUAAGUCAGGCAACGAGCAAGACCCGUGCCCACUGUUACCAGCAUAUCCUUUAUGGAUGAUGGGGACUCUGUGGGGACCGCUGCUGCUAAAGCAGAGGAAGGUGCGGGCUACGGUAGGUCAGUAUGCCCCGAAUCUCCCGGGCUACACGCGGGCUACAAUGGUUGGGACAAUGGGUAUCUACUCCGAAAGGAGUUGGCAAUCUCUUAAACCCAAUCGUAGUUCGAAUUGAGGGCUGUAACUCGCCACUCAUGAAGCA
This 815-nucleotide ribosomal RNA is filed under the name uncultured archaeon. RNAcentral's name for it is "bacterial SSU rRNA". It matches the Rfam family "Archaeal small subunit ribosomal RNA", at positions 471 to 1283 of the family's 1478-position model. The record is from RNAcentral.